Molecule: long non-coding RNA, 4388 nt
Filed under: Gossypium raimondii (Peruvian cotton)
Lineage: Eukaryota; Viridiplantae; Streptophyta; Magnoliopsida; Malvales; Malvaceae
Description: long non-coding RNA (GRAI_LNC000273)
Source: RNAcentral
GAGAAGUGACGGGAUGCUCAAAGAAAGAAAAGAAGGAAGAAGAGAGGGAAGAAAGAAUGAAGAAAUAGAGGUACCCAAUGAAUUCUUGUUUGUUACUAUGGUUUUCCAGUCAUAUUAAGCGCUUCACCAUCAAGAUUUUUAAUUUUUGGUUGCAAAAAUCAUAGAAGAACUUCACUAUCAAUAUUUUUAAUGUUUAUUUGUUUCAGACCCUUCACUGUUUUUUUUUUUGUUAGCCAAUGCUUUAUUUGUUUUUUUGUAUUAAAAAGCCUUAAACCUCAAAAUGGAGAUUCAAAAAAUUUUAAAGUAAAGUACACCAACAGUCAAUCAACUUUGAUCUUAAUAACAAAACAAUCACUCAACUUUCAACUCAAUCACUUAACAUUGAAAAAAUAACAAAUCAAUCAUGAACGUUAUUGAAAAGUGAUAAAUCAGUCACUUACUAGCAUUUUUCGUUACUGGUCUAACGGGAAAGGUGAUGUGGCUAGUUAACUAGCUAACGUGGCUAGUUAACUUGCCACGAUAGAAACCCAUUUAAGAACCAAACAAAACAGUAAAAGAAGAAGAAGAAGAAGAAGAGAUAAAUAAGAAAAAGAAGAAGAAGAGAAGAAAUGGAGAUAACGAAACAAGAAAAACCAUUAGAGAUCCAAAAUUUUCCUUCUUGACUAUUUAUUCACCCCCUCCCAAGUUCCGAUCGCUUAACCCGGUGAAGAAGAGAUUCCAAUCGAUUUGUAAAUUUCCUUAACAAUUUUAUAGAUUUCCUUAACGAUGUUUCUUCUGUGAAUCAACCUCAAUUUUAUAGAUUUUCUUAAAGAUUUGUAGAUCUAGAGUUAGGUUCUAUUGGAAAUUAGGAAUUGGGGCUUUUAUAGAUAUCAUCUAUCUGUUUUAGGGUUGAGUCGUUACAAUCAGUUGAAAAAGGGUGGAGAUGAAGAGGCAGGGACCCUUGUUUUCAUGUGGACAAACAUUGGUUAUUACAGGAGAAGAAGGCCUAAACUUCUCUCUUUCGUUUUACUUUCUCUUCUUUCUUGUGCCUUAAUAGUGGCUCCUCAAUUCUUUAGCUUUUCUUUUGCUUUAUCUCAUCUCUAUAAGCUUUUCAUUUUCCUUUCUUGGGUUUCAAUUAAUUGCCUCUGUGUUUUUUUUUAUUUGCUCUCUGUUUAUGCAUCUUGACUUCUCUUACAUGUUUUUUAGUAAAUUCUUUUAGAUGACAAAACGACGACCUUACUGGUGAUAUGGAUGUAAAACGUUCCUCUUUGUUUUUCAAUCUCUAAUGGUUAGUAGUUAAUACUAUUUUUUUCUUUUUUACACCUUGGAAUAAUCGAACGGCCUUUCAUAUCAAGAAAUUGGCUUCUCUUCUCCUCCUCUUCUUCUUCCCAAAAACUUACAAAGAAAAAAAAAACAAUAAACCCAAAAAAUUUCCCAACAAUAAAUUAACUUUCUUUCAACAGUAAACAUAUAAAUAAAUUUUUAAAAACUUUCAUGAUAAUGAUUAAUUUUUCAAUGAAAAAACACUUAGAAAUCCAAAUUUUCACGAAAAUAAGCCCAAACUUUUACCAAAUUUAUUCAAAGAAACAAAUCAACCUAUUGUUUUCAUAAAAUAGAAUUUCUCUUUUUUUGAAACGCAAAAAGUUAUCAGAUAAAAAAAAAAGUCGACAAGCAGAAACUUGAGUAAGACAAAAUUAUCCCUCAAUGAUUACAAUUUUUUUUGUUUUAGUUCUAAUUUUUAAAAUUUAAUAAAUUUAACCCUUAAUAUUUACAAAAUUCGUCAUUUUAGUUCUAAUUCUAAAAGUUAAAAAAAUAUUUAAAAAAUCAUAUUUUGAUAAAAAAAUAAAAUGAUUAAAAAUAAAAAGAAUAAAUAAAUUAUAAGUAUAAAACCAAAACAUAUGUAUUAAAAAAUCAAAUGAUUCAAAAAGUAAUGAAAACAAAAUAAAUUGAUGAGCAUUAUAGACGUAUGAAGUUGGACAUUUCCAUAGGACAUGAAAUAGACAAAAUUAUCUCCAUUGAUUCAGUUCAGCUUGUAUUUUCAAUUGACUUUGAAAUUUUUAUAAUUUGAACUACAUUGACAAAUUUUGUAAAUGUUGAGGGCUAAAUUUAUUGAAUUUUUAGAAUUCAAACUAAAAUGACAAAUCUUGUAAAUAUUGAGGAUAAAUUUGUUGAAUUUUUUAGAUAGAAUGUAUAAACAUUGAAAAGUUAAAUUUGUUAUUAGACCAGUAAAAAAAGGCCCACGUCAGUAAUCUGUUACUCAUCUAACGUCAUCUAAAGGGAAAGUGACUAAAAUAUAUGGUUUUGAAAAUUUGAGUGACUAAAUAAAAAAAUUAAUAGUUGGGUGACCAAAAUAGAACUAAAGGCAUAGUUGGGUGACUAUUUUGUAAUUUAUCAUAUUUUUUAUUCUACUUAUUUAAAAAGGGGUAAACUACAUAGAUAGUCAUCCAGCUAAAAAAAUAUCAUUUUAGGCCAUUUGUAAAUUUUGAGGGAUAAUUUUUAAAAAUUAUGAUUAAAUUGACAUAAUAUGUAAAAGUUUAGUGCUAAAUUUGUUAUUCUACAGUUUUUAAUUGUCACGUCAGCUUACUAUUUAUGAUUUUAAUAAGAGUGACCAAAAUGACUAAACUAUAUAAUAUAAAUUUUUAAAUUACAAUUUUUUAUGCCUAAAAUAAUUUUUUUUAUAAUUAAAUAACUAUCUAUGUAAUUUACCCUUUAAAAACUCACCUAAGAAAAGAGUGUUUUAAUAAUUUUUACCCCAAAAUGAGUGCCAUAAUUUAUAAUACAACAUAUAUACGAAAUAAAGUUAUAAUAAUAAAAUUGAUUUCAUGUCUCUUAUGCUUAUAAUAUAUGUUAAACGCAAUAUUUUUUUCAUUUAAGUUUGUUUUUGAAAUUAUAUUUGUAAUUAUAAUGAAUCCAUUCAAAUAAUUAUAAUAUAAGUAACUAUAACUAGAAUUAAUUAUUAUAAUCUAAAUUUAUACUAAAAUAAAUCUAUAUAAGAUUCAUGGGAUAUAAAUCGGAAUAAAUAUAGAUUAAAAAUCCACAUAUUAUUUACACAAAGUUAAAUUUAAACUUGAGGUGUUAAAAUUCAUAAAAUCUUAACAUUGGGAUUAAAACAAUUUAAAAUUUUUUAUUUUAUUUUUUAGGUAUUUUGAUUUUCAAUUAUUAUUUAUAGAGAACAAGAAAUUCUCAAGAUCACAGUCAUGAUCAUGUGCGAAUACAUAAGACUAAGUAUGACUUUCGUAAGUCGUAACAUACGAGAGGUAAGAGAAUCAAAUCAAAUCAAGGCUUAGCUUGGUGGUGAUUGCUUAUCUUAUCUCUUAACUAUGUGUAACGCCUCAAAAAUUUAGUUUUUGAAUUGUUAUAACUUAUUAAGUGAGUUAAUUUGGUUUUGCGGUUAAGUGUAUUGCUUAAGUGUGUGGGGUUUUAGGUUUGAAUCUUUUUCCUAGAAUUUUUGUUAUUUUUGUUCCAACCCAUAUCUUUAAACUUAUAGCUUAUAUUUAAUUUCUACUCAACUAAUGUUAGAAUGAGUUUGCUGGUUCAGUGGUAAGAUUUUAACUUACCUAAAAGUUUCGUACUCGAAUCUUAUGUGUGUGUGCAAAGUGAAAAUAUUUUUUACUUCUUCUUUCUGUGUCGCCCAAGGGCAUAUAAGUUGUGUGGAUUUUGAAUCAUGAUGAAUAAUUGAUAAGGAUCACUAAUCGGAUUUAGUGGGGAAAUGGGUAGUUUUUUUUUAAAAUUCCUUUUUGAAAAUUAUCCCAAAUUUUCUCCAAAAUCCUCCCAACAACUGUUGUCCACUUUCUCAUUCCCCUUCUCUUCCUUAAGUUCCAAAUUUCUUUUCCUCUCCCACAUACAGUUGUUCUCAUUUCUUGUUUCUUUCUUUUUGUUCUUCCAUUUUUUUCACUUCCGACUAUUAUUGUUUUUUUUUUUGCCUUUUUGAGUUGCCAUCUUUUGGGCGAUCUUUGCUUGGUGUCGGUAGAGUUGAUUGUAAGUAAAUCUCAUGUAAGUAUCAUUAUUUUUGUGGCCAGGUUUUAGUUUUUCCUUAUACUCAAUUUACGUUUUGGUGCACUACGAACUUCAUUGAUUGAUCGUUUUGGUUUUUUGAUAGGAGAAGAACAUGAGGCGUACGACGUUCCUCCGACGAUCUAGGCACUGUUGUAAGUCGUUGUCUUCUCAAGGGCAAGUGAUCAAAGUGUUUUUAGGUCGAAUCUUGGUGUUUGAAUUGAUCAGAAAGUGUUUGUGGCUGAGUUAGGGACUUAAAAUUUGGAUUAUUUCUAUUAUUUCUCACGUUCAUAAUUGUCAAUUUAGGUACUGAAAUCCUCACUGUUGAGAUUGCAAUGAAAAUCGACCAAGUGUGUAACAAAAACCCUAAAAAAUAGCGAACGACACGAUGCCGAAAAGCCCACUAUUGACCUCAC